This is a non-coding RNA of Bactrocera oleae (olive fruit fly), 13946 nucleotides long. The record is from RefSeq and is a predicted model, not a curated record. NCBI's taxonomy places the organism in Eukaryota, Metazoa, Arthropoda, Insecta, Diptera, Tephritidae.
ACACAGAUAAAAAUGUUACCGUUCAGCACACAGCCUUACUAGAAAUGUUUUGUUGUUUUAAUUUUAUGCAACCCUGUCUUUAUUAUUUUUUAAUUGUACGUGUAGUUUUUCCAAUAUUAAAUAUAUAUAUACAGUCAAACCUGGUUAAGAGAGAGUUCAAGGGAUCAUGAUUUUUUUCUCGCUUAUAGAGGUUUCUCACUAAAACGACAACACGUUGAUUUUUCGUAUUUCGUAUUAUAAGUUGUUGUAAGAGUUGUACUGUUCGUGUUAAAUAAUAUUUAUGAACUGCAGUGAGCAUGAUAAUUAAGUUAAUACAGUUAAAUAUUAUAUCUUUGAAUUAAAAGAAAACAACAUAGUUCCUGAUUCGUGAAAAAAAGAAUGAGACAUAAAUAGGAAAAUUGUAGCUUAUAGAGGUAAAUACAAAAGAGGUUCUCAGUUAUAGAGGUCAGAGUGGGAAAAACGACUGUCACUUAUGGAGGUUUUGGUUUCUCACUCAUAGAGGUUUUUGAGUGGUCAAAAUUCGGGACCUGAGAAUUAUUCUCACUUAUAGAGACUCGCUUACCCAGUUCUCUCUUACUCAGGUUUGACUGUUUAUAUGUAUGCAUGUAAAUAGGAGUUUUAUAUCGUGAAUAAUUUAAUAGUUCUUCAUAUUCAUAUUCUGCCUCUGGUUGUGUAGUUUUUUUAUUUUAAAGCCCUACUGUAAUCCUUUGUACAUAUAUUUUAUGAACAAUUAUUAUAGUAAAUAAGUCAAGUUUUUUUUUACACAUCUGGUUUUAAAAUAAAUGUUCACAAUAGUUAGCUUGGAUGUGGUAACAUUUCAUUUAUGAAAUUAAAGGUCUCCAAACUUAAAAAGAAAAUAUUAGUUGUCCCUUUCAUCAGCAGAAUACAAUUAGAAAAAGCGGUAAAUUAAGUACAUAACUGUCUUGCAUUAGUUUCAUUGACUAAAAAAUUACAAACAGUUCCCUAAAAGAGUAUUUAUUAUCUCGGAAUGCAUAAAUUGACAACUGUUGUGGAAAUAAUCACUUUAUUUGUUCGUAUUAUAUGAUCAUCAGUAUUUAUUACAUAGGCAACAUUGAUAGCCCGAAAAUCUACCGAAUACGAAAUGCAUCGACAUCAACGAGUGGGCGGUUGAAGUGCUGUCCUGCUUAUGCACAUUGUUAUUUCUCUCCUGGCGGGUCGUUGAGCCGAUGAACGCGUUUUGACAGCACUGCUCUAGUAUAGAAAAGUUUCGUAUUUCGUGUUGGUCGUCAACAAAUUUUCACAAUGUAAAGACAUUAAUAUCUCCUAUAAUUUACAUUGGAAAUCGGCAAAUGUGAUUGAAAAAUAUCGUUGAAAUGAUUAUUGUCUAAAGACAAUAGAAGUAAACGUAGUUGGCGUUGAUUAAUAAACAAAUAUAAGAUUUGUAAAUGCAGUUAACUAAAUUCAUGUCAGCAGCAAGUUUUCAUUUGAUUGUUUUUUUUUGUAAGUGAAAUGAAUGAAUCUCCAAAGAAAAGAAGUGCUCGAGUUGAAUCUGUAGUACGUUCUAUUGUGUUUGAUAAGUGCAAAUAAGCCUUGUGUUGACAAGCACAUUUGGAGAUUAUGCAGUUUACUAAUUUUAUUGAGAUCAAAAAAUUUAUUAAAGUGAAGUAAUUGAAAAGUGAGUUGUGUACAUACAUAGUGAAAAAUUAAGUAAACGAAAUUUCUUUGUAUGCUCAUAUAAUAAGACUAGUGCAGUAUUGAAGUUUAUUGUGAAUGAGAACUAUGAAAGCGAUGCGUUCUAAUAUUGAGUAAACCCCACUACAGUUGUUUAAAAUAGAGAUGUUUCGUCAGCGGUAGAAUUUAAAUAUUUAAUUGCUUGUGCUAACUAAUCAUGUGAAGUGUUGUAAUUAAUCUGAUGGAAGUAUCCUAAAUACUGUGAGUUAUAAAAAAGUACAGCACAAAAUCAGCAAUUUAAAGUACACAAGUUGUAAGUUUGAUUGACCAUUGUUGCAAACAUGUCAGAAGACAACGCUUUUAAGGAUGGUGACAUCGUUUGGGUUAAACUGGGCAACAACUGGUGGCCCGGUGAAGUAACCGAUGUGCAUCGCCAACCUGAUGACCUUCUCAAACAACUAAGGAAGAAACCCUAUUGCGUUGUAAAAUUUUUCCAAGAAGAUGCCUAUGAAUAUAUAAAGAGUGCAAAACAAAUAUUUCCUUUCCAAUGCAGCAAAAAAGAUGAGUUCAUUAAAAAGGGGACGGCUUUAUAUAAUGCCAAAAAUAAAUUUAUGGAGAAGUUUCCUUCAGAUGUGGAGAUCGCUGAACGUUUAACACGUAAAGCUAUUGAUUCAGAUUUGUUGAUUAUAAAUGAUCGUCCAGAUAGCAUUGUCAAGGCAAUACUAGGACCAACUUUUACACGACGUAGUAAUGAUUAUUACGACAAUGAAUACAUCCAUAGUUCUACCAAUGACUACAACAAUAAGCGCAGAAGUGGGGAUUCUGUAACAAAAAUCCUCAACAUUACACCAAAACGUACAACCACAACAACAAUAACAACAAACCGUACUCCAGAUAUAGGAAAAUCACUAGCUUCACCGCAUAUCACUUCAAGUUUCGUAACGAACUCUACUCCCAGCAGUGCUGAAACGAAUUUUUAUCGAUGUAAUCUGUGCGAUUUCUCUAGCCAAAGACAAAAUGUCAUGAUAUUACAUCGACGCACACAUAGCUGUACUGGCACGCCAACAUCCGCACAGACACCUUCAACGUCCAAUGCACGGAAGAUACCUUCGGCUACUAUAACGUCAGAAAGCGAGUCUAAGAGCUAUAUCGCUGCGAUGACUUGGAAGCUUCAAUCGCCUGCAACAUCUUCGAAAUGCGAACCUAACUCUUUGAGCGAAGAUGAUGAUCAAAAAUAUUCUGCAAUACUUGACACCAGGACAUUUCACAUAGCAAAGUCCACAAAAAGUGAAAUCUUGUCACCGGUGAAUAGUCGAAACGUUAGUGGCACCAAACACAAGCCUUAUCCGCUGGCCGGAAGCGAAAGAGCAAGUCGGUCUGCUGCUGCAAGCACGUCGCGGGAGAAAUCAUACACAUCGUUGCGAAUUGAUGCCGAUGUAAAAGAAAUUACUUUACCCGACGGAAUGCCGGUUUCUUCCAUAAAGGGAGAGCUUAAAUUGAGUAUUGAAGAUGAUACCACCGAUAACUCAUCGUCACACACGACGGAGGACUUGUUGAGAUCAUGCAGUCCGCGAAAGCGCAACAUUGAUUCUGGUGAAAUUAUGGAUAACAAAUCGACCAUGUUGAAAAGUACGGCUGAAGAAAUGCGCCUGCGGCUACUGGCUGAUUGGAGCGACGGUGAAAAAGAGGAUGAGUUGGUUGACGGUGUAAAACUGAAUUCCAAUCUGGAAAUGCCUUCAAAGAUGGAAACACCACAAUACAAACUAGAUAAGUUAACAACAACGUCAACAACUGAAGUGAAAAGUGAAAACAGUUCAUUUGAUUUGGCGACACGAAUAUGUGCGACAAUAAAUAACUUUGGUGCACAAACUUCAAAUCAGACUCAACAUCAAAAUCGUAUUAGAAACAUACCGAAGAAGGAUCGACGUGACGCCGUAUUAAAAGAAUUCAUAAAUGAUUAUACUGUAGAGUUGCCCACAGUAGUUGAAAAUAUGGAGAAUAUAAACUGUAAUAGCAGCAGCAGCUCCGAUUCGGUGGUUGUAGUAGGGGUUGUGCCACCAAAUAGUGGUGAAACAAUUAUUCUCGAUGACAACACUGGCACUGAUGGUGAAACAGAAUCAACGGUUGGCAAAGAUGGAUUGGUGAGAAAUGAAGCAUCGAAGAAUAAUAUACAAUUCAAUUAUAUUACAAUAGAUAAAAUAAAUGUUGCGCGCGUGGUACAAGAAGAACAUUUAUCUGAGGAACAUCUAGAGGAGUCGAAUAUAGAAACGGAAGUACAAGUGCCAAUGGAAUGCACUGACAUAUCAGCUAACCAAGAGCAAGUGUCAGAACUUGAAGAUAGACAAAAUGAAGAAUUUCAGUCGGAGCAACAAGAAAACGCAGAAACAUUAACUUUAGUUUCCAACGAAACGGGAGAACUUGAAUUUGAAACCACUGAGGAAAAUGUACAAAGCGAACCGAGACAAGAAAUUAAAAACUUGAAGUCAGAAAGCGAAAAUGUGAAGCAACCGAAACAAAAAAGUCGCGGGAAGGGACAAAAAUCAAAUAAAAGACAGAAGAAUCCAAAGGAAAUUCUUAAAGAUAGUUUUGAAAAUACAACAGCAAAUAAAAUGGUAGAGGAAUUGCCAAACGUACAUACUGCACAUGAAAUAGUGGCAGAACUUACCCCAGUGUCACCACAGUGCUUAAAAGAAGAAGAGCAACCUCAGACCAGCGCGCCUGUGAACCCACGUACCGAUUGCUUUGAUUUUCAAGAUGAAGAAGAUGAUACUAGCAGCGAUGCUUUAAAAUCUAUAGCCGAUUUCAAAAAGAAAUAUCUUUCCCCGGAGAAAGGACAAGACAAAUCUCAGACUGAUAAUAGCAUAUUGCCCGAAAACGAACGACGACUUUCAAGUGAGCAGAGGGAUCAACAGCUGGCGGAUGACAUCGAAAAAUUGCUUGAACAAACAACAGCACCCAAUAUUGCUGAGGAGGGAUGUCUCGCGGUUGUUUCCCCAACACAGUCUUUCGGUAGCACCAAGGAGGAGUUGCCAGUUAAGGGCUUACCGAUUAAGGAACGAGGUAAACGUAUAUUCAAGUCUCGUAAUCGCUCAAGGAUUGAAGAUCCGCCUACAUCAACAGCAGAUAGUUUGGAAAUUGUUUUGUCAGGGCAAGCAAUUGCUACAGUGACAAAAAUGGACGAAAAUGGAAUGGUGACAGUUACUGAGCAACUCCAACUCGAGGAAAAAAAUAAGUUUAGUGAGAAAGUUGAAUCGGAGAUAAAAGCUAAGCAACAAAAACAAUCUGCUUCUAUAGAUGGCGUCGAUGAGUAUGAAAAUGCAUACCAAUCUGCGGCAUUUACAGCACCUGCGUUAGAAAUGAAUGAUGUAAAAACGAAUGAUUUUCAAGUAAUGGAACAAGAUAAAGAGAACGAAGGAAAUGUUGAAAUCGUGCGCCUCGAUUCCGUCGAGGAAACUACUAUUUUAAAAGUAAAAAAUUUAAAAAAUGGUUCAUUAGCUACUCCUAAUACGACGAUAGAGGUCUUACAUUGUGCAAGCUUGGAACAAAAGAAAUCCACAAUUAUAGAAAAUAAUGAAACAAAUUUAUGUCCAACAGAGACACAGAUUUACAAUCCUGAUGAUUUACAAUUCUCAAAGCAAAAUAUUGAAGACACAGAACAAAAGAACGGAUGUGAAACCGAAAAUUUAGAGCCAAUUAAGGAGGACAAUGUAAAAGAACCUCAAAAUUUUUCACCACAUGAGAAACUUGAAGAUGAACUGAAAACACUAAAAGAGCAUAAUAAUACUGCCGACAAUGCGGCAUCCUUAGAGGGCAUUCAAGAAACCUGCGAUGAACCGACUCGUGCAGUCGAGCAAGAAAGUCUCAAAGAGAAGUUUAAAUCUAAUGCUACAACCGGAAGAGAAAUGAUAAAUGAAGAUUUUAGUAAUGAUUUAAAAAUUCUUCCACCCACAACGGCAUUGCCUAAUAUACAGAAUGAAAUAAUAUUGAUCGAUACAUAUACGGCAGUAGACAAAGAACAAUCUGUAGUCGCGGUCAUAGAGCAACAGACAAAUAAUGGUGAUAAACAGUUGGAACAAGAAACGGAGAAUUGUUUGGUUGUAAAUAUGAAGAAUGAUGUAGUGGAAGAACAACAACAAUGCAUCAUGUUGUUAGGGGAAGAAGUACCACAAAGUCGCCUCACUUCGCCAACUGACGACAACAGUUCGAUUUGCAUUUCAGAAGCGGGUGCAGAGUUUGGAUCGCCCACCUCAAUGUUAGACGAUGAACGUUUGCCAACGUUGACUGAUAGGCUGAUGACACCCACCGAUGGGUUGGUUGAGACAAUACCUACACGAACCGAAGAGUCUAAAAUACUAGUUGAACAAGAAAUGAAUGUUGAAGGAGAACAUGAAAAUGUAAGCGAUAGACAAAAUAAAAAGAUAGAAUCAAUAGACAAAGUUCUUGUACCAUUGAUUGAAGGCAAAGAAGUUGCAAUAACUAAAAUCCAGAAAAUAUUGGGAGAGGUAGUAGAAGACAUAGUACGUAAAAGUGAAAUGAAUGAAAAUGAAACCCAUACAGCUGUGGAAGAAUGCGAUGGAAAUGCUAAAGAUGAAAACACCAGUUUCAUAGCAACAAGCGUACCAAAAAAUAUGGAAUCUGAAUUGGAAGAAGAGGAGCUUUUGAAAGAGAAAAAUCAGAAUAACCGCGAAACAAGUGAUGUGAAUAACUCUCUUAUUGAACAUUCAGAAAUUUCCGAAAACAAUAAAAAUGAUAAGUCAAAUUUUUUAGAAUGCAAUGAUAAUGUAGUUAAUACACCGCGUAGUGGAACCGAUGAAAUUCAUUUAAAGUGUGUAGAAAUUAGGAAGCCUGAAAUCCAAAACCAAACUGAAAUUGUUAAAGAAUUGACGUGUGAAGUCCCAUUCGAGACACAGCAGAAAGAAACUGAAACAGGAGACAUUGUGAAUAAUGUUAUUGAAGAGCAUAAUGAAGAGAACGAAAAUCACCUGUCAAAGGAGGAAGACAACAUUGUGGAAAAUAAAUUAAUUGAAGAGCAGUUGCAGAUUGAAAAUGGCGCAAAACAAGAAGGCGACAAAACACUGAGCACGGAUUUUUUAAAUAAUGAAGUGUCUAAUGAAGCAUUAGCUAAAGAUUUUGAGCAUGCACAGCAUGAGUAUUCCGAUGCAGAUGACGAUUUCAUCGAGAGUCCACCUCAUGAGCCGCUUUCCGGACAUGAAGGGGAAGGUGAUACAGAAAAAUCUGCGCCAAAACCAAAAUUAUUGAAUAAAACACAUAAGCGUCGUGCAAAUGCAACACAAGAUAAAUUGAAUAUACAAGUUGAGGCUAAGGUGGAUCCUAAUAAAUCUGUAACAUCGAAUUCAGUAAACAACUCAACAAAAUCAUUUUCCGAAUUUACCAAAGAUAAAACCAGUAGAAAACGACAGGCCCGAUCGGCGAAACAACGGCAAGAGAGAUCGAAUGAUUUUAUGAAAGAGCUGGAUUUAUCAGAUUUAAAUGAGAAAAAUAAUACGACGCUAUGUCAAAACCAACGAAAAGCAAUGAAAGUUGCAAAAUUAGCGGAAAAAGAAACCGAAACAUAUACAAGAAACGAUGAUGUUGUUGUUGCAGGAGAACCAAAAGAUGCUGUCGCCGAUCAAAUAGGAGUUGAUAACCUGAAUAUAACAACUUCACAAAUACAAAAUGAAAAAUCUGAACCCAAAUUGAUCGUUUUGUCCACCGAUACAUGCGGUAAUCCACAACCACACGAGCAGGUUAUUGAAUUACCAACUGGCCAAGCUGCCGUAAAUUUCACACCUACAGUAAAAUUUGGAUGUUCUCGCAAACGACGUAGCGCUACAAAACCAGCUCCUCGACGUAAUGUGGUCGCGGUCCAAAAUUUAGUAAUACAAGAGAACGAUUUAAAUUACGAAGAAGAGGGCGUACAGCGUGUGAAGAGUAGAAAUGUAGAGAACCCAAAUAUCAACAAUACAAGUAUUGAAAAUAUGCAAACAGAUGAGGAGAUCAAAACUACGCCAAAUGAGAUAACAAACUAUGAAGAUGAAAAUAAGAGUAAUUAUUUGGAGGAAGUGGAAGGGUCAGAACAAACCGUCGAAUGUAAUGAUAAUGAACCAGCAGACUCUCUUAUAAUAGAGGACGACCAGUGCAUAAUUGAAGAAGUAUACCUAAAUGAUACAGUGUCAGUGCAACAAAUAGCAAUUGAGGAAUCGCCAGAUAAUGAUACCACAAAAGAUGAAAACACUUCAGAAUCAACCGCCUCAGAGUUAAAUUCGUUUCCUUCUAUUGAUGAACAAAACGCAGUGGAAUAUGUGAAUUACUCUUCAAUUGAACAUCAACAACCGAUCGAAGAGGUAAUAGUUGGCGCUGCCAACACAGUAGAAGCGGCCACGGGCAUUGACUCGCUACAAAACAUGGACGAGAGCCCGAAUAUUGGAAAUGAGAUGUUAAAUAAGCGACUGGUAUCUCCCAUUAAUCCACAUUCUAAAGCAGAUAACACAUGUAUCAAUAUUUCUCCCAUGGAGAAGGUCCGCAUCAACGUAGAUGUUGCCAAUCCACUCUCCACACAAAUAGCAAAUAUUUUAGCCACAAAAUCUGCCGCUGGUGCAACAUUAACGGCAGCAGCAGCAAAGCAAAGGAAGUCUAAUCUCGAAGAAUCUAUACCAUCAUUUAUAAUCGAACGACCAGGACAAGGGGUGGGUUCACAUAAACAACAACAACAACAUGCAUCAUCUUCCGGUUUAGAGUUUAUUGGUGAGCAAGAUGCUGUUGCACAUGUACAGCAAAUGUGCCCCCAGGUUAAAAUCACACGCAAAGAAAAAUUGAUUGAAGUAGCGCAAACAGCUGCCCUGGUACAACAGGAACAAGUUGGUGCAGCUUCUGGCGCUAUGUUCGACAUCAGCAAUAUGCCGAUAGUGCUUGGUAAUGAGCAUUUUAUGUCAGCACAGGGUGAUAUGCAAAUUGUAUUGACAUCAUCCGCAGAAACGGAACAACAUUUAGGUUCAGAUGGCCCACAGAUUUUACAACAACAAAUUAUACAACCUGCGUACAGAUCGACACAGCAAACUUCUCAGCAACGGCAACGCAAACGAUCCACAAGUCAACAGCAGCAGCAACAGCUGCAACAAACGAGCAGCGUGGGAGCUAAUAAGCACGGUAUAAUUUUAAUCAAGGCAGCGCCGAGUGAUUUGAUAAUACAACAGACACCUUCAGUUCAAGUGACCCAUGCGCAAUCGCAGGCGGUUGCCGGUGGUGCUACACAACAAUUCUCUACAUCAUCCUCCGAUACAAUGACCACAUAUAACCUCGGUUCCGGUGUCACCUUGCGCCCAAUAGCUGAACCGAAACAAAAACAACAGCAACGCCAACAACAGCAACUUCAGCAGCAGAAGCAGCAACUGACUGGUAAUAAGUCAAAGCCCACGGCGUCCUCAUCAACCGGUGGCCGCAAACACGCUGGCAAUACAAUAACAUUGCCAAGCAGUAUUACAGUGAAGCAUCGGCAACAAAAAAUUACGGAGGAUCCAUCAAAUGCAGUAGGAAGCGCAACAACAGCAAAUGCAGUGCUUAAUGAGCAACCACCGCAACUAACUCCGUCGACAAAUGCAAGCAGCGGCUGUAAAGCGCAGAAGCGUAACUACCCAACAAACUCAAAACGCUCACAAACUCAGUCACAGAUAGUUCAUCAACGACGAUUAACUGCUACGGCGAGCAAUUUGGUGGAGCUUCAGCAGCAAAAUCUACAACAAUCUACUAGCGACGAUUGUGCAUCUCUAAAUAGGCGAUUAAGUCAUUCAGACGGACAUGCACCACCGCCAGCAAAAAUAUCUCGAAGCCCCGCUGCUGGCACAUCUACAUUGGACAACCACAACGAGCCAACAUUUGCAGCAACGGCGGAACAACAACUUUUGCAACUGCAGCAGCAGCAAUUACAACAUGCAGUACAAUCUCCGACGGCGACACAGCCACCGCCACUACAUCCUCUGCACAAUCGCAAGCAACGUCAUUCAUCACAACACAAUCGACGAAUGAGUACGAAAACCGAGUUGUCAGCACAAAUGUGCUUGCAAGAACAACAGCAGCAGCAGCAACAACGAUUACAGUCAACGCAGAUGGUAUUGUUGGAUCAACAGCAACAACAAAGUUUGGAACAUCAACACCAAGAGCAACACUUGACUGCAGUUCAUAUAGCAGAGUUAGCAUCGGCGUCGCCGUCGACUGAAAUUAUUCCUGCGGAGUUUGAAGCAAUACAAAUGCAAGAGCAAGUGCCUGAAGUAUACACCGAAGAGAUUUUAGCUGAAGAAUUUGAAGCAAAUGAGCAUACACCAUCAGUAAUAGCCGUGCCGGCACAGUCAGUACCAGGCUACCCCGACACGUUAUUAUUAUGUCGAAAAGUAGGUGAGGAGUGGGUGCCGAUAGUUGCUCAGCCUUAUUACUAUACACGCUGUGACCAACAACUAAGGCCCAUACCAAAGGAAGUACUUAUCGGACAUCCGAUAUUGACGCCGAAUGCUGAUAAAACACCGGAUUUCCAUACUGCCGAAGUAGAUACGGAAGAUGUGCAGACGGCCCCUGCUAAUGAAGCGUACAAAGGAGAGACUGGGGUUACCAUUUUAAUUGGCUCUGAAUUAGUACAUAUGGAAUGGGAUCAGUUUUUGGAGGUAAUGCGUUCUACUGAUGAUUUGUUUGAUUUGCGCGAUCACCUUGGACGCGUAUUCCAGCUGACGCGGGAUGCAUUAGAUACCCUCCAACAGGAUGUUAAUUUGCAAGAAAAAUUUCGGCAACUGCAGCAGUUGUUGGAAGAACAACAAUUAGAGGAGCAACAGCAACUGGAGCAACAAGAGUUAUUGCAACAACAAUUCAUACAGCAGUUGCAAACAGUUACAGUAGCUGGAGAUGAAGGAUUAGAAACCGAUAUCAUACCAUUGCUACAAAUAGACACAUCGCAAACGUUACAACUUAUAGGAACGGAUGACGGUAGUCUUAUACUUCAAUCGGCUCUGACGCAACCACCACUUUCACCUCCAUGCACGCGCCCUGCUCUAACAAAUGCGACAAAUGCGUUGCUAAACCAAACGCCCAUUAUGUCGCCGCUGGAGAAGCCAUCUACAGCGGCUAAUACAGCUUUGAUAGCCGAAAAUUCGGGACAACACAUCGACCUGUCCUCAGCAACAACAGCCGACCAUCUUGGUGCAGGUGGUUUUAUUGCGUCCGAUUCAGGAAGUGGCAUGCCAAGUUUGGGCGAUAGUCUGGCCGUUAUAGGAGUUGUGCCCACACAACCUACACUGCUGCCCACCACCGUUACCAAUCCAGCGAUUGCGCCGCCAAAGUCUGAUUUAAUACCCAACAUGACAACGGCAGCCCAAAUGCACGCGCAAUACCGACAUGCACAACGUGCAAUAUACAAUGAUCCUGGGAGUUAAUAUUGUUCCAAUGUGCUCUAUUUAGACAAUGUCCACAAUGGUCUAUUAGAGAAUGUGCGAAGGACAGGCAAUGCUGCAGGCGAAUGUGCGGACGGUGUUGGCAUGGGGGUGGAUGAAGUGAAUGAAAUGAAUGAUGAAAAUAUGGAUACAAAUGUGUUUUAAACGUAGCCUCUCUUAGCUGAGCAUAUCGGUGGUCUGAAGAAAGUAAGUUUUUCUUAAUGGACACAUACAAAACCAGUUUAAUCAACAAGGACACACUUGUAGUUCUUCUUUAAUAAAUAGUUAUACUUUACUGCAUAUACAUAUGCAUUGUAUAAAUAAGCCUAUAUAAAUUUUUAAGAAUUAAUAUUUGAUUUUAUGUUGAAAUUGCCUAAACUAUUUGAAUUUUGAUAAGAUUUUUCACUCAUAAAAAAAACCGGUUUAAGUUAAAUUUAUCGGAGUUAAUGCCCCAAAAACCAAACAACAAUAAUAAAAAGAAAAAAUCGAAAAAAUAUAUAUGUUAUAUCAAAUACCUUAUAAUAAUUGUAAAAUUAUAAUGGUGCGAUAUUGCUAAUAUUUAAAUACCGACCCACUUGGUAUUUUGGAUUCCAUGUCAAAUCGACAAAUAGUUGGACGCGACCCCCACUGAUUCGCUUCUAUUUUUUACACUUUUAAUAGUCUAAAAUAUUUGUUUUAUGUUAAUGGGAUGAAAAAUAAUAAUAAUAAAUAAACAAACAAAAAAUUAACAUAAGAAAAAGAUUUUAGACUUAAAAUUUCGAUAAUCAUGAGAUAGAAAUGAUAUUCAACAAAAAAGUUAAAAAUAUAAAAAAAAAACUAUUUUGCCAAAAUUCAAAAAUUCAUAUCUUUGAAACAAAAAAGAACACCCUUCUGAAAAUUUCAGAAUUCCUUUAGAUAUGUUAGAGGCCUAAUACGAUUUUCCAAAAUUCAAAGUUUUUUAAUUUUGGUAAUUUUCAAAAUUUUUUUUUUCAAAGCAAUUUUUUCCCCAUACUUCUAAGUGACCUUUGACAACUCACCAGCGUCCUUUGUUUAAUAUACAGUGGUUUCUGAAAUAUUAAAUAAAUAAACUCAUAAAAUCGGGAAAACAGUGACAUUUUCAAUUUCGUAUAGCUCUUAGGAAAAUUUUUUCAAAACUUUUUAUUUUGGCAGAACUUUGUUUUAUGAUAAGACAAAACUUUCCACCCAAAUUCAUUCGAAACGAUGGGGGUCGCGCCCAACUAUUUGUGGAUUUGACAUGGAAUGACCCAAGUGAGAUUCAUCGGUUUUGGAUCAACCCUACGACCUAGCUUUAAGUCCAAUAUUAAAUGAAUUAUUCUCUUAAGUUUAUGUACAAACAAUUAAAAAUUAUGAUUCGUUAAUAGUAGAAUUCAUACAUACAAACAUACAUACAUAUAUAAUGUGUACUAGUUUGGUUAAGAAUAAAGUAAAAUACUAAACUACAACAAAACACACAACGAAAAUCCAAUGGUGUAUAUACUCGUAAACAUAAAUUGUGUGUAAAGUGUAACAAAAAAAUAAAAAGAAAAAGUUGUAUUUAAAUGUUUUAAUUACCUGCAUUCGUUGUGCUUAAUAAUUGUCAACAAGAAUACGCGAAAAUGCAAAUAAGUUGCACUAGCACUAUUAACGCUGCCAUUUACGAGGGGCAGUAACAAGCAAAAAAGAAAAAGAAAAAGUGUAUGUAUGUAUUUUAAAAAUUAUGUAGCUUAAACUAAGGUAAUAUUUAAAGAAAAUUCUAUAUUAAAUAUAAAUACAUAAAUGCAAAUAUAUUCAGAAAAUGUAUAACCCUCGGCAUGCAAACAUAUAAUAAAACGAUAUUACUAUAAUGCAAAUAUGUGAAUACAUAUUUAUUUUAUAUGUAUAAAUAUGCUGAUAUGUAUAAAUAAUAUGAUAAUAAAUUAACCGUAAUUAACGUGUUUGUUUCGCUGGGUGUGUAAGUAAAUUAAUUCAAACACCAAGAUCACAGUUAAAAACAACAUCACAUUUAUAAAUCUAACAAAACGUACUGCAUACGAAACUAAUACGCAAUUUUUACCUAUUAAGGUAGGUUGUAAAGUUCUUAUUGUCGAUUUACUUCUUGAUAAGACUACUAUGAUUUCCUGGGAGCGUUAACACUGGUAAUUGUAAAGCUGACAGUAUAAUGUAUGGAUGGGUCUUAAGUGGUUUGGCUUUAACAGUUCAACUACCAGUACUUGUGCAGCUGCAAGAUCUUUUGCUCUGAUAAAAAGUUGAGUAUGCUCUUCGCUUUCAGCAAGAGAUUUUGUAUUUUUUUUAUUUGUAUGAGUCUUGAUUGGUCCCGCCUAUUUGAAAUCAAGGCUAAUACAUCUCGGAUCUCUACCACUAGGGAUUCUGGUAAGUUAGAAUAAAUGUAUAGUUUCACGGCGCUUUGUCAAUACUUAACAUCCAACUAUCACCUGUUGUUUGGCUUCAAAAAGGACAAUUUUUGGUAGUCCAAGUGAGAUCGAAUAAAAUCUCAACUAAUCUAACCAGGUAAAACUUCGCUAAUUAAGUUCAAUGAGAUAUUAUUUAAAGAUAACGGUUUGCAUUUGGUUAUUAUGUAAAUAAAUGCGAUUUGAAUUUAAUAUAAUUCUUUUGCGUAUACGAAAAACUUCAAAGUUAUACAAAAUUAAAAUUUGAUUUUUCAUACCCACUUUUUUUUGGUUAUAAUGCAAAAAUAAAAAGUUUAUAGUUAAAAAAAAACCUUGUAAUUCUGAAGGUUGUUAAGUUAUAUACGUUUAUAUAACAAGCAGACAUUGGAACAAUAAUAUUUUUGCUUGAAACAGCCAUCAGAAAACUGUGACGGGUGGGACCUUAGAUAUUUGAAAUUUUAAAGAAUUAUAAUUUUCAGAUUAUAUUAUGUAAAAUUUUGUAUAGAAAGUAAUUAAUAAUUUUGGUGAAGUACGUUGC